RNAcentral lists this ribosomal RNA (164 nucleotides) under uncultured bacterium. RNAcentral's name for it is "partial 16S rRNA". It matches the Rfam family "Bacterial small subunit ribosomal RNA", at positions 355 to 511 of the family's 1533-position model. The record is from RNAcentral.
UAGGGAAUCUUCCACAAUGGACGAAAGUCUGAUGGAGCAACGCCGCGUGAGUGGAGAAGGGUUUCGGCUCGUAAAACUCUGUUGUUAAAGAAGAACAUAUCUGAGAGUAACUGUUCAGGUAUUGACGGUAUUUAACCAGAAAGCCACGGCUAACUACGUGCCGG